Molecule: long non-coding RNA, 731 nt
Filed under: Mus spicilegus (steppe mouse)
Lineage: Eukaryota; Metazoa; Chordata; Mammalia; Rodentia; Muridae
Description: lncRNA (ENSMSIG00000027629.1)
Source: RNAcentral
CAACACUUGAAAGACCAGGAUAUGGAGGCUUAGAGCAAUUAGUCACAUGUAAAGUUCACCUGAAGCGGAGUGGUAAUUCCUGUUCAUCAGAUCUCUUUGAUGCCAACAGCUUCCCAUUCAGUGAUAGGGUGGAUUGCUGGCUGGGCUACCUGUAGGCCUGCUGAUAAAAAGAUAGCUUCUGCUGGUGGCUGACUGUGGGUAAGAGUCAUUCGAGCAAAUUGCUCCCCGGAAGCACCAAUUCUCUGCAGUUUGUUCUAGGGAAGACUCCUUCCAGCGAGGCUGGCUGGGCAGGCCACACUUGCAAAGGCGAUGCUCUGAAAUUAGAGGUGAAAGAGGCACGCAUCCACAAAUCAAAAGUGACAUUCCUUGACCUGUGCUCCAAUUGGGGACUGUGAAGGACAUAAUAAGGAGAAACUCUGGAUGUUAAUUAUCAAAGAAAAGAGAUGACAGCACCACACUAACCAACAAGUGGCAUUUGGUUCUGGUUGCCGAGAUGAUGAGAUGGAUGGUACACGGUAUGCAUCAGACAAAGCCAGGUAGCUUGUCUGUGAACACAGUUGCUGCUCUGAAAGCAACAUAAAGCUUCCUGUUUCUCACCAUUCAGCAUUUUGGGAAAUAGCAUCACUUUGGAAGGUUGCCUGUUUGAGUGUCAAAGCCAUCUGUACCGUGCUCAGUUGACACCCUCUGUAAUGUAUGUAACCUCUCAUGUAUCUUGUAAACAUUAAAUUGAG